CUAUCAAACCACUUCCACGUCUCACCGUCUCUUUCUCCUUCUCUAUCUUUCCCCUCCUCCCUUUCUCUUCCCACUCUCCUCCUCUCUUCUCUGCCUUUUUCUCCCGUUUCAUCGUUUUCUUCGCUUUUGUCUCUCUUUCCACUCUCACUUCGUCUCUCCCCGUCGUUCUUGUGGGGUUUUUGAGGGUUGGGUGUUGCGGAAUGCGGAGAUAGCUUUUGCGGUUCCGUUUGCUGCUGGGGUGUUGCGCAGAGGGUUUUUGGGCUUCCGUCUGCUACCGUGGUUUUUGUUCACCGGUUGCUGGAGAAGGGGGCUCUUCAUGCGUUGGCUAUUGUGGUCUAGUCGAGAGAAUGAAGAUCUUCACGCGUUGGCUCUUCAUGCGAUCCUCCUUACUUUUGUCGCCCGAGGUAUGGGUGGGCAUGGUGGUUCUACUCAUCCGAAGUCCUUGUUCUGAUUUUUUGGAAAAACUACAGCGAGAUAUCACCCAAAGUAUGCGAGGAAUUUCGAUUGAUUAGCUUGUGGAGUUAAACAAUCAACCAAUGUUGCAUUUGGUAGCAUCUCAUUUUUGCUCACCUAAUGGUGAUUACGCGUUGAUGUUGAGGAGGUGGAAGGUUUGACAAAAUGACCUCAGGUUGGCAAGAUGGACCAAUUUCCUAUAAGCAACUUGAUCUUUUGAGGCCAUCAGUUCAAUAUUAUUCAGUUGUUAAAGUUAGUAUUCCUGGGAUUCCCCCUCCCCCCAAAAAAAUGAUAAUAAUAAAAAAUAACUACAUUUUAGUUGUUAGAAUUGUGAUUCUUCAAGUACAUUUAUUUCUUUCAUGGUAUGGAACUUAAUCCCUUGCCUCCUGAUUUCUGUUGAUUUAUUAAUAGUUUGUGAUGGAAAUGGCUACCUUGUGAUUGAUUCCAUAAGCAUGUAGUCCCUCCCAUGUUUUAUUGAUGAAGCCAACUCAAAAUACCCUGUUUUCAAGGCAAUCAUCA
Molecule: non-coding RNA, 972 nt
Organism: Nelumbo nucifera (sacred lotus)
Lineage: Eukaryota; Viridiplantae; Streptophyta; Magnoliopsida; Proteales; Nelumbonaceae
Source: RefSeq, a predicted model, not a curated record